This 801-nucleotide ribosomal RNA is filed under the name uncultured bacterium. RNAcentral describes it as "bacterial SSU rRNA". It matches the Rfam family "Bacterial small subunit ribosomal RNA", at positions 77 to 896 of the family's 1533-position model. The record is from RNAcentral.
GCUAUAAUUGUCAGCUAAGUGGCGCACGGGUGAGUAAUGUAUAGAUAACCUGCCCUUAAGAAAGGAAUAACAGUUGGAAACGACUGCUAAUGCCCUAUAUGCCUUUAAUACAUAAGUAUGCAAGGGAAACGCUUUAGUGCUUAAGGAUGGGUCUGUAUGGUAUCAGCUUGUCGGUGAGGUAAUGGCUCACCAAGGCUAUGACGCCUAACUGGUUUGAGAGGAUGAUCAGUCACACUGGAACUGAGACACGGUCCAGACUCCUACGGGAGGCAGCAGUGGGGAAUAUUGCACAAUGGACGAAAGUCUGAUGCAGCAACGCCGCGUGGAGGAUGACACAUUUAGGUGCGUAAACUCCUUUUAUAUAGGAAGAUAAUGACGGUACUAUAUGAAUAAGCACCGGCUAACUCCGUGCCAGCAGCCGCGGUAAUACGGAGGGUGCAAGCGUUACUCGGAAUCACUGGGCGUAAAGAGCGUGUAGGCGGGUAUAUAAGUCAGAAGUGAAAUCCAAUAGCUCAACUAUUGAACUGCUUUUGAAACUGUAUACCUAGAAUGUGGGAGAGGUAGAUGGAAUUUCUGGUGUAGGGGUAAAAUCCGUAGAGAUCAGAAGGAAUACCGAUUGCGAAGGCGAUCUACUGGAACAUUAUUGACGCUGAGACGCGAAAGCGUGGGGAGCAAACAGGAUUAGAUACCCUGGUAGUCCACGCCCUAAACGAUGUACACUAGUUGUUGUGAGGCUCGACCUUGCAGUAAUGCAGUUAACACAUUAAGUGUACCGCCUGGGGGAGUACGGUCGCAAGAUUA